This 532-nucleotide ribosomal RNA is filed under the name uncultured bacterium. RNAcentral describes it as "partial 16S ribosomal RNA". It matches the Rfam family "Bacterial small subunit ribosomal RNA", at positions 355 to 903 of the family's 1533-position model. The record is from RNAcentral.
UGGGGAAUAUUGCACAAUGGGCGAAAGCCUGAUGCAGCAACGCCGCGUGAGUGAUGAAGGUCUUCGGAUUGUAAAGCUCUGUCUUUUGGGACGAUAAUGACGGUACCAAAGGAGGAAGCCACGGCUAACUACGUGCCAGCAGCCGCGGUAAUACGUAGGUGGCGAGCGUUGUCCGGAUUUACUGGGCGUAAAGGGUGCGUAGGCGGAUGUUUAAGUGAGAUGUGAAAUACCCGGGCUUAACUUGGGUGCUGCAUUUCAAACUGGAUAUCUAGAGUGCAGGAGAGGAGAAUGGAAUUCCUAGUGUAGCGGUGAAAUGCGUAGAGAUUAGGAAGAACACCAGUGGCGAAGGCGAUUCUCUGGACUGUAACUGACGCUGAGGCACGAAAGCGUGGGUAGCAAACAGGAUUAGAUACCCUGGUAGUCCACGCCGUAAACGAUGAGUACUAGGUGUAGGAGGUAUCGACCCCUUCUGUGCCGCAGUAAACACAUUAAGUACUCCGCCUGGGAAGUACGAUCGCAAGAUUAAAACUCU